ACGAGUGAAAAAUGUAACACUUAUCGAUUGCCCCAUCAUAAAAUGAAAAUGCAACACUUAUCAAUUGCCCUAUUACAUGUGAAAAAUGUAAUUGUGGUUAGUCUAAAGCCGGAAAUAAAAAGAAUUGAUGUGUGAAUGUGAAUUUGAUUAAUUGAACAAGAACUUUGGGAUGAUCCCGUUAUUAUCGAUUGUCCCAUCACGGGCUGAAAAUAUGACACUAUCAAUUGCUCGUCAUGGGCGGAAAACGUGACAUUUAUUGAUUGCUCCGUCAUGGACAGAAAAUAUGAUCAAAAUUUGGCCCAAAGUCGAAAAGAUAA
This 317-nucleotide long non-coding RNA is filed under the name Phoenix dactylifera (date palm). Its description in RNAcentral is "long non-coding RNA (PDAC_LNC021018)". The record is from RNAcentral. Lineage: Eukaryota; Viridiplantae; Streptophyta; Magnoliopsida; Arecales; Arecaceae.